This 624-nucleotide unclassified non-coding RNA is filed under the name Hevea brasiliensis (rubber tree). Lineage: Eukaryota; Viridiplantae; Streptophyta; Magnoliopsida; Malpighiales; Euphorbiaceae. The record is from RNAcentral.
AAAGAGAAAGAAAAAGAAAAAGAACAAGAGAAAGAAGAAGAGGAAGAACAAGAAAAAGAAGAAUAAACAAACCAAAGUAAUAGAAAAUAAUGCCGUCGGUGUAGAAGAAUCCGCUUCCUCCAAUCAGAACCAUCCUGCUGAAAUACGUGGUUCUGAAGCACAUACUGAUGAUACUUCGGGGAUAGAUGACGAUUCUAAUAGACAUGACACUGAGGGUGCCAAAGUCUCAUCUUUAGCGGAGAACGAGAAACACUGUAGGAUGGAUUCAGAGGCUAUCUUCGAGGAGAAACUUAAACAGUUCUCAUGGGAAAAAGAUGCCAGUUUACUGAAGGAGUCUAACUUGAACGAGAGGAUUAAACAACUUCAGAAUGAAAAUAACAGUCAUCUGCAUAAAGAGGCUAGUUUUGAGAUGAAAAUCAUGCAAUUGCAAGAUCAAAUUAGUAGUCUCAGGAGGCAAGAGGCUAACCAAGAAGAAAAGAUAAGACAAUUGCAUAUGGAGAAGGAUCUUUACUUGCAGAAAGAGGCUGAGUUUGAGAUGAAUAAUUCUCAGUUACAAAGUGAAAAGAGUUCCUGGCUUCUAAAGGAGGGUGGCUUAGAGAAAAGAAAUAAUGAGUUGGUGGAGGA